GGGUGCAGAGCAUGCUGUGAUCUCCUCUUGCAUUUUGCAUCAGGUCCUGUUCACCUUUUGCAUUUUGCAUCUUGCAUUUUGCAUCAGGUCCUGUUCACCUUUUGCAUUUUGCAUCUUGCAGCUGCAUCAGGUCCUGCUCCCCCUUCGCAUUUUGCAUCUUGCAUUUUGCAUCAGGUCUUGUUCACCUUUUGCAUUUUGCACCUUGCAUUUUGCAUCAGGUCCUCCUCUCCUUUUGCAUUUUGCGUUUUGCAUCUUGCAGUUGCAUCAGGCUUUGCUUUCCUUUUGCGUUUUGCACCUUGCAUUUUGCAUCAGGUCCUGCUCUCCUUUUGCAUUUUGCACCUUGCAUUUUGCAUCAGGUCCUGCUCAUCUUCUGCAUUCUGCACUAGCACCAGGCUAUGCUCACUUUUCCCUUUGCAUUUUGCAGUUGCGUCAGGCUUUGCUCACCAUUUGCACUUUGCAAUAGCACCAGACUUUGCUCAUCUUUUGCAUUUUGCACUUUGCAAUAGCACCAAACUUUGCUCACCUUUUGCAUUCUGCACUAGCACCAGGCUACGCUCACUUUUCCCUUUGCAUUUUGCAGUUGCACCACACUUUGCUCCCUCUCUUCAUUUUGCAUCCUGCAAUUGCACGAGGCUUUGCACACCUUCUCCAUUCUGCAGUUGCAUCAGGUCCUGCUCUCCUUUUCCAUUCUUCACUUUUUGCGCCAAACUUUGCUCACUUUUUGCUUUCUGCAAUGGCACCAAACUUUGCUCACCCUUUGCAUUCUGCACUUUGCAAUGGCACCAAACUUUGUUCACUUUUUGCAUUCUGCACUUUGCAAUGGCACCAAACUUUGUUCACUCUUUGCAUUCUGCACUUUGCAAUGGCACCAAACUUUGCUCACUUUUUGCAUUUUGCAUUCUGCAAUUGCAUCAAACUUUGCUUACCCUUUGCAUUCUGCACUUUUCAGUAGCACCAAACUUUGCUCACUUUUUGCAUUCUGCAAUGGCAUCAAACUUUGCUCACCCUUUGCAUUCUGCACUUUUCAGUAGCACCAAACUUUACUCUUUGCAUUUUGCAUUCUGCACUUUUUGCAUUCUGCAAUGGCACCAAACUUUGCUCACUUUUUGCAUUCUGCAAUAG
RNAcentral lists this long non-coding RNA (1122 nucleotides) under Phasianus colchicus (ring-necked pheasant). RNAcentral describes it as "lncRNA (ENSPCLG00000014604.1)". The record is from RNAcentral. Lineage: Eukaryota; Metazoa; Chordata; Aves; Galliformes; Phasianidae.